RNAcentral lists this ribosomal RNA (127 nucleotides) under uncultured bacterium. RNAcentral describes it as "partial 16S ribosomal RNA". The record is from RNAcentral.
UUAGCCGUGGCUUAUUCCUCAGGUACCGUCAUUAUCGUCCCUGAGAAAAGAGGUUUACAACCCGAAGGCCUUCAUCCCUCACGCGGCGUUGCUGCUUCAGGGUUUCCCCCAUUGAGCAAAAUUCCCG